This 515-nucleotide ribosomal RNA is filed under the name Enterococcus faecium. Its description in RNAcentral is "bacterial SSU rRNA". It matches the Rfam family "Bacterial small subunit ribosomal RNA", at positions 1025 to 1533 of the family's 1533-position model. The record is from RNAcentral. Lineage: Bacteria; Bacillati; Bacillota; Bacilli; Lactobacillales; Enterococcaceae.
GGCAAAGUGACAGGUGGUGCAUGGUUGUCGUCAGCUCGUGUCGUGAGAUGUUGGGUUAAGUCCCGCAACGAGCGCAACCCUUAUUGUUAGUUGCCAUCAUUCAGUUGGGCACUCUAGCAAGACUGCCGGUGACAAACCGGAGGAAGGUGGGGAUGACGUCAAAUCAUCAUGCCCCUUAUGACCUGGGCUACACACGUGCUACAAUGGGAAGUACAACGAGUCGCGAAGUCGCGAGGCUAAGCUAAUCUCUUAAAGCUUCUCUCAGUUCGGAUUGCAGGCUGCAACUCGCCUGCAUGAAGCCGGAAUCGCUAGUAAUCGCGGAUCAGCACGCCGCGGUGAAUACGUUCCCGGGCCUUGUACACACCGCCCGUCACACCACGAGAGUUUGUAACACCCGAAGUCGGUGAGGUAACCUUUUGGAGCCAGCCGCCUAAGGUGGGAUAGAUGAUUGGGGUGAAGUCGUAACAAGGUAGCCGUAUCGGAAGGUGCGGCUGGAUCACCUCCUUUCUAAGGAA